RNAcentral lists this ribosomal RNA (326 nucleotides) under uncultured eukaryote. RNAcentral's name for it is "partial 18S ribosomal RNA". It matches the Rfam family "Eukaryotic small subunit ribosomal RNA", at positions 1470 to 1796 of the family's 1831-position model. The record is from RNAcentral.
CCCUUAGACGUUCUGGGCCGCACGCGCGCUACACUGACACAGGCAACGAGCUUUCCUUUACCGAAAGGUAUGGGUAAUCUUUUGAAACUGUGUCGUGCUGGGGAUAGAUCCUUGCAAUUUUUGAUCUUAAACGAGGAAUUCCUAGUAAGCGCGAGUCAUCAACUCGCGUUGAUUACGUCCCUGCCCUUUGUACACACCGCCCGUCGCUACUACCGAUUGGGAAAAUUUUAGAGAGUCCUGGACUGAUGAUUGUUCGGCUUCACGGCCUUACUUUCGUCGGGAAAGAAUUCGAUAAUAUUUUUCUAGAGGAAGUAAAAGUCGUAACA